This 561-nucleotide ribosomal RNA is filed under the name uncultured bacterium. Its description in RNAcentral is "bacterial SSU rRNA". It matches the Rfam family "Bacterial small subunit ribosomal RNA", at positions 8 to 563 of the family's 1533-position model. The record is from RNAcentral.
AGACUUUGAUUCUGGCUCAGGAUGAACGCUAGCGGCAGGCUUAACACAUGCAAGUCGAGGGGUAACGAUGGCUUCGGCCAGUCGACGACCGGCGCACGGGUGCGUAACGCGUAUGCAAUCUGCCUUUGACAGGGGAAUAGCCCCGAGAAAUCGGGAUUAAUGCCCCAUAAUAUCUGUUUAUGGCAUCAUAGAGAGAUCAAAGCUCCGGCGGUCAAAGAUGAGCAUGCGUCCCAUUAGUUAGUUGGUAAGGUAACGGCUUACCAAGGCAUCGAUGGGUAGGGGUUCUGAGAGGAUGAUCCCCCACACUGGUACUGAGACACGGACCAGACUCCUACGGGAGGCAGCAGUGAGGAAUAUUGGGCAAUGGACGCAAGUCUGACCCAGCCAUGCCGCGUGCCAGGAAGACGGCCCUAUGGGUUGUAAACUGCUUUUGUAUGGGAAGAACUACAGAUACGCGUAUUUGUUUGCCGGUACCAUACGAAUAAGCAUCGGCUAACUCCGUGCCAGCAGCCGCGGUAAUACGGAGGAUGCAAGCGUUAUCCGGAUUCUCAUUUGGGUUCU